RNAcentral lists this ribosomal RNA (426 nucleotides) under uncultured Pseudomonadaceae bacterium. RNAcentral describes it as "bacterial SSU rRNA". It matches the Rfam family "Bacterial small subunit ribosomal RNA", at positions 356 to 774 of the family's 1533-position model. The record is from RNAcentral. Lineage: Bacteria; Pseudomonadati; Pseudomonadota; Gammaproteobacteria; Pseudomonadales; Pseudomonadaceae.
GGGGAAUAUUGGACAAUGGGCGAAAGCCUGAUCCAGCCAUGCCGCGUGUGUGAAGAAGGUCUUCGGAUUGUAAGCACUUUAAGGUGGGGGGGAGGGCUGCAAGGUAAAAACUUGGUGUUUUGACGGUAACAACAGGAUAAACACCGGGUAACUUCGUGCCAGCAGCCGCGGUAAUACGAAGGGUGCAAGCGUUAAUCGGAAUUACUGGGCGUAAAGCGCGCGUAGGUGGUUUGGUAAGAUGGAUGUGAAAUUCCCCGGGCUCAACCUGGGAACUGCAUCCAUAACUGCCUGACUAGAGUACGGUAGAGGGUGGUGGAAUUUCCUGUGUAGCGGUGAAAUGUGUAGAUAUAGGAAGGAACACCAGUGGCGAAGGCGACCACCUGGACUGAUACUGACACUGAGGUGCGAAAGCGUGGGGAGCAAACA